GUUGCUCUAGUGUUGAAAAUAUAUGCCACAGUUUCCAUAUUGGUGAGCGAAGCGAUGCUGGGAAGGGUUGAAUCGUAUUGGUGGAUGCUGGGAAAUGCUAAAUCUUACUGGUGGAUGCUGGGAAGCGUUAAAUCUUAUUGGUGGAUGCUGGGAAGGGUUGAAUCUUAUUGGUGGAUGCUGGGAAGGGUUGAAUCUUAUUGGUGGAUGCUGGGAAGGGUUGAAUCUUAUUGGUGGAUGCUGGGAAGGGUUGAAUCUUGUUGGUGGAUGCUGGGAAGGGUUGAAUCUUAUUGGUGGAUGCUGGGAAGGGUUGAAUCUUAUUGGUGGAUGCUGGGAAGGGUUAAAUCUUAUUGGUGGAUGCUGGGAAGGGUUGAAUCUUAUUGGUGGAUGCUGGGAAAGGUUGAAUCUUAUUGGUGGAUGCUGGGAAGGGUUGAAUCUUAUUGGUGGAUGCUGGGAAGGGUUGAAUCUUAUUGGUGGAUGCUGGGAAGGGUUGAAUCUUAUUGGUGGAUGCUGGGAAAGGUUGAAUCUUAUUGGUGGAUGCUGGGAAGAGUUGAAUCUUUUUUUUUUUUACUGCUAAGGAGACAGUUCAAGGGCAUAAAGAAAAAUAUUUAAAAAAAGCCCGCUACUUACUGCUCCUGAAUAGAGGUCAAAGGAGUGUCCAAAAAGAGAGGUCAAUAUCAGGAGAGGUGUCCUGAUACCCUCCUCUUGAAAGAGUUCAAGUCGUAGGUAGGAGGAAAUAUAGAUAAAGGAAGAUUGUUCCAGAGUUUACCAGCGUGAGGGAUGAAAGAGUGAAGAUGCUGGUUGACUCUUGCAAAAGGGGUUUGGACCGUAUAGGGAUGAGCAUGAGUAGAAAGUCGUGUGCAGCGGGGCCGCAGGAGAGGGGGAGGCAUGCAGUUAGCAAGUUCAGAAGAGCAGUCAGCAUGAAAAUAUCGAUAGAAGAUAGAAAGAGAGGCAACAUGGCGGCGGAAUUUGAGAGGUAGAAGACUAUCAGUAUGAGGAGGAGAGCUGAUGAGACGAAGAGCCUUUGACUCCACUCUCUGGUGGAUGCUGGGAAGGGAUCUCUCUCUCUCUC
This is a long non-coding RNA of Eriocheir sinensis (Chinese mitten crab), 1069 nucleotides long. RefSeq lists it as uncharacterized. The transcript has 4 exons. Lineage: Eukaryota; Metazoa; Arthropoda; Malacostraca; Decapoda; Varunidae. The record is from RefSeq and is a predicted model, not a curated record.